RNAcentral lists this ribosomal RNA (2899 nucleotides) under Klebsiella pneumoniae. RNAcentral describes it as "bacterial LSU rRNA". It matches the Rfam family "Bacterial large subunit ribosomal RNA". The record is from RNAcentral. Lineage: Bacteria; Pseudomonadati; Pseudomonadota; Gammaproteobacteria; Enterobacterales; Enterobacteriaceae. RNAcentral also lists the same sequence under 1 other name.
UUAAGCGACUAAGCGUACACGGUGGAUGCCCUGGCAGUCAGAGGCGAUGAAGGACGUGCUAAUCUGCGAAAAGCGUCGGUAAGGUGAUAUGAACCGUUAUAACCGGCGAUGUCCGAAUGGGGAAACCCAGUGCAAUUCGUUGCACUAUCGUUAACUGAAUACAUAGGUUAACGAGGCGAACCGGGGGAACUGAAACAUCUAAGUACCCCGAGGAAAAGAAAUCAACCGAGAUUCCCCCAGUAGCGGCGAGCGAACGGGGAGCAGCCCAGAGUCUGAAUCAGCUUGUGUGUUAGUGGAACGGUCUGGAAAGUCCGACGGUACAGGGUGAUAGUCCCGUACACCAAAAUGCACAGGUUGUGAACUCGAAGAGUAGGGCGGGACACGUGGUAUCCUGUCUGAAUAUGGGGGGACCAUCCUCCAAGGCUAAAUACUCCUGACUGACCGAUAGUGAACCAGUACCGUGAGGGAAAGGCGAAAAGAACCCCGGCGAGGGGAGUGAAAAAGAACCUGAAACCGUGUACGUACAAGCAGUGGGAGCACCUUCGGGUGUGACUGCGUACCUUUUGUAUAAUGGGUCAGCGACUUAUAUUCUGUAGCAAGGUUAACCGUAUAGGGGAGCCGCAGGGAAACCGAGUCUUAACUGGGCGUUAAGUUGCAGGGUAUAGACCCGAAACCCGGUGAUCUAGCCAUGGGCAGGUUGAAGGUUGGGUAACACUAACUGGAGGACCGAACCGACUAAUGUUGAAAAAUUAGCGGAUGACUUGUGGCUGGGGGUGAAAGGCCAAUCAAACCGGGAGAUAGCUGGUUCUCCCCGAAAGCUAUUUAGGUAGCGCCUCGUGAACUCAUCUUCGGGGGUAGAGCACUGUUUCGGCUAGGGGGUCAUCCCGACUUACCAACCCGAUGCAAACUACGAAUACCGAAGAAUGUUAUCACGGGAGACACACGGCGGGUGCUAACGUCCGUCGUGAAGAGGGAAACAACCCAGACCGCCAGCUAAGGUCCCAAAGUCAUGGUUAAGUGGGAAACGAUGUGGGAAGGCACAGACAGCCAGGAUGUUGGCUUAGAAGCAGCCAUCAUUUAAAGAAAGCGUAAUAGCUCACUGGUCGAGUCGGCCUGCGCGGAAGAUGUAACGGGGCUAAACCAUGCACCGAAGCUGCGGCAGCGACACUAUGUGUUGUUGGGUAGGGGAGCGUUCUGUAAGCCUGCGAAGGUGACCUGUGAGGGUUGCUGGAGGUAUCAGAAGUGCGAAUGCUGACAUAAGUAACGAUAAAGCGGGUGAAAAGCCCGCUCGCCGGAAGACCAAGGGUUCCUGUCCAACGUUAAUCGGGGCAGGGUGAGUCGACCCCUAAGGCGAGGCCGAAAGGCGUAGUCGAUGGGAAACAGGUUAAUAUUCCUGUACUUGGUGUUACUGCGAAGGGGGGACGGAGAAGGCUAUGUUAGCCGGGCGACGGUUGUCCCGGUUUAAGCAUGUAGGCUGGUUAUCCAGGCAAAUCCGGAUAAUCAAGGCUGAGGUGUGAUGACGAGGCACUACGGUGCUGAAGUAACAAAUGCCCUGCUUCCAGGAAAAGCCUCUAAGCAUCAGGUAACAUCAAAUCGUACCCCAAACCGACACAGGUGGUCAGGUAGAGAAUACCAAGGCGCUUGAGAGAACUCGGGUGAAGGAACUAGGCAAAAUGGUGCCGUAACUUCGGGAGAAGGCACGCUGGUGUGUAGGUGAAGUCCCUGCGGAUGGAGCUGAGACCAGUCGAAGAUACCAGCUGGCUGCAACUGUUUAUUAAAAACACAGCACUGUGCAAACACGAAAGUGGACGUAUACGGUGUGACGCCUGCCCGGUGCCGGAAGGUUAAUUGAUGGGGUUAUCCGUAAGGAGAAGCUCUUGAUCGAAGCCCCGGUAAACGGCGGCCGUAACUAUAACGGUCCUAAGGUAGCGAAAUUCCUUGUCGGGUAAGUUCCGACCUGCACGAAUGGCGUAAUGAUGGCCAGGCUGUCUCCACCCGAGACUCAGUGAAAUUGAACUCGCUGUGAAGAUGCAGUGUACCCGCGGCAAGACGGAAAGACCCCGUGAACCUUUACUAUAGCUUGACACUGAACAUUGAGCCUUGAUGUGUAGGAUAGGUGGGAGGCUUUGAAGCGUGGACGCCAGUCUGCGUGGAGCCAACCUUGAAAUACCACCCUUUAAUGUUUGAUGUUCUAACGUGGGCCCCUGACCGGGGUUGCGGACAGUGUCUGGUGGGUAGUUUGACUGGGGCGGUCUCCUCCCAAAGCGUAACGGAGGAGCACGAAGGUUAGCUAAUCCUGGUCGGACAUCAGGAGGUUAGUGCAAUGGCAUAAGCUAGCUUGACUGCGAGCGUGACGGCGCGAGCAGGUGCGAAAGCAGGUCAUAGUGAUCCGGUGGUUCUGAAUGGAAGGGCCAUCGCUCAACGGAUAAAAGGUACUCCGGGGAUAACAGGCUGAUACCGCCCAAGAGUUCAUAUCGACGGCGGUGUUUGGCACCUCGAUGUCGGCUCAUCACAUCCUGGGGCUGAAGUAGGUCCCAAGGGUAUGGCUGUUCGCCAUUUAAAGUGGUACGCGAGCUGGGUUUAGAACGUCGUGAGACAGUUCGGUCCCUAUCUGCCGUGGGCGCUGGAGAAUUGAGGGGGGCUGCUCCUAGUACGAGAGGACCGGAGUGGACGCAUCACUGGUGUUCGGGUUGUCAUGCCAAUGGCACUGCCCGGUAGCUAAAUGCGGAAGAGAUAAGUGCUGAAAGCAUCUAAGCACGAAACUUGCCCCGAGAUGAGUUCUCCCUGAGACUAUAAGUCUCCUGAAGGAACGUUGAAGACGACGACGUUGAUAGGCCGGGUGUGUAAGCGCAGCGAUGCGUUGAGCUAACCGGUACUAAUGAACCGUGAGGCUUAACCU